Molecule: ribosomal RNA, 604 nt
Filed under: uncultured freshwater bacterium
Lineage: Bacteria
Description: bacterial SSU rRNA
Rfam family: Bacterial small subunit ribosomal RNA
Source: RNAcentral
AGAGUUUGAUCCUGGCUCAGGAUGAACGCUAGCGGCAGGCUUAAUACAUGCAAGUCGAGGGGUAGCAUGAUUGUAGCAAUACAAUUGAUGACGACCGGCAAACGGGUGCGGAACACGUACACAACCUUCCUACAAGUGGGGAAUAGCCCAGAGAAAUUUGGAUUAAUACCCCGUAACAUAGCGAUGUGGCAUCACAUUGCUAUUAUAGCUUCGGCGCUUGUUGAUGGGUGUGCGGCUGAUUAGAUAGUUGGCGGGGUAACGGCCCACCAAGUCUACGAUCAGUAGCUGAUGUGAGAGCAUGAUCAGCCACACGGGCACUGAGACACGGGCCCGACUCCUACGGGAGGCAGCAGUAAGGAAUAUUGGACAAUGGACGCAAGUCUGAUCCAGCCAUGCCGCGUGAAGGAUUAAGGUCCUCUGGAUUGUAAACUUCUUUUAUAAGGGACGAAAAAAGGUCUUUCUAGAUCGUCUGACGGUACCUUAUGAAUAAGCACCGGCUAACUCCGUGCCAGCAGCCGCGGUAAUACGGAGGGUGCAAGCGUUAUCCGGAUUCACUGGGUUUAAAGGGUGCGUAGGCGGGCAGGUAAGUCAGUGGUGAAAUCCU